This is a non-coding RNA of Sus scrofa (pig), 4613 nucleotides long. NCBI's taxonomy places the organism in Eukaryota, Metazoa, Chordata, Mammalia, Artiodactyla, Suidae. The record is from RefSeq and is a predicted model, not a curated record.
GCCGCCACCGCCGCCCGCCUGGACCGCUCGGACCGCCGGGACCGGCGCCGGGCGACGGGCCCGAGACGGCGCUCCGCGCCCCGGAUUCGCCUCGGCUCGGCCGCGCGUAUAUUUUCCUUCCUCCAUGAUCUCCAACACUGAUAAAGUGGAAGAAACUGAGGUACCAUGAAAGAGAAAAGUAACGUGGACUGAGAAAAAGAAAGAGGUAGGGGGUUACACGCGCAUUGUCAUCUGACUUUCUGCUCCAUGCUUUCCCACUGCACCCCAGUGUUGAUCUUAAAAGUGAUACCAGGAAUCAGAUGGAAGGCUGCAAAGGAGCCCAAAAGUAGCUUUCUCAUCGAGCGAUUUGGUCAGAGAAGUCAUAAAAUAAAACUUGCCAGUUGAGUAAUGCUAGCAAAGGAUGGAGGGCAAGUAGCUCCGUGGGACCCUGUUUCAUUCUUAUCCUUUUCUUCCUCCAGUUUCCAGCCAUUCUUUUGAUCUCAUUUUGCCCUUUCCCUUGCUUCCCAUCCCUUGCCUGUGGAAUCAUUUCUCUCCUGGGUUAUUCCCACCUUUUAGGUUUGGCUGCCAGCCGGCCAGCAGUCCCUGCAGGGUUUGGGGGUACCUUCACAAGGAGCGGUAGGUAGGCAGCAACCAGAAAGGAAUAGUGGCAGGGCACAUUUUUGCUUACAAGGCUUACAGUAUUCUUUAUUGAUGUGCCAACCCCCGCCCCCCAUAAUACACCUUAUUGAGCAUUGAUUUCCAUCUUUUUCUUAACCUGGACUUUGGAAUUCUUUUUGCCUCUGCUCCCGUAUCAUUCCUGUCUUGAGUGUAACUCCAGUUCCUCUUCCAUUCGAUUUUGUUAUGUCCUCUUUCUCAGCCCCUCUGUACUAGUUCAUCUGGGUGGCCCCCUCUUUCUGUAUAUGGGCUUCUGUGAAUGUGUGUGUUUUUUCAUCGAGGCUGUCUUUCUCUCUCCUGGACUCAGGCUCUGUCACCUCUAAGUGACUUUCCAUCUCUGUCUUCUUUCUGUUUACUUCUGUCUUCCGGGCUCCAACUGUGUGUGCCUCCCCCUCUUUCUGGCCCCCCUGUGUGUGUCUGGGAAGCAUGUCCCCAUGUGUAUGUGGCAGCCCUGCGCAUCCUGGUGCACCACAGGCUCUCUGCCUGUGUGCCCUUUGCCUGUGCUGAGCGCCUCCGCCUGCCUGCCACAUGUGCCCCGAGCUUCAGGUGUGGGUGGCUGAGGGUGGCUGUGUGCAUCCCUGUACAAACAUUCAUCAUUCUCCCCGGGUGUGCUUUGCACAUGGAUCUGUUAAUCUGCCUGAUUUUCCCUCUUGUCCAUCUCCCUCUCUGCCUGCCGGCAUCUCCUGUUCCCUUUUCUCUCCCUACUGACCUCUUGAUUUUUCUUCUUCUCUGCUUGUUUCCGCCUGCCUCUCUACCUGCUUGCUCCUGUUAUGGUGUCUGCCUGCCUGCCUGUCUGCUCCUCCCUGACUGGCUGGCAGCCUCUUUCUCUCUCUGGUUGUCUGUCUGCUUCUCUGGCUGUUUGCCCACCACUCUCUCUCUAGCCAUCUGUCUCCCCGCCUGCCUGUCUCUAUCACUUUUUUAGUCUCCGACUCUUGGUUUGUCUACCUUCCAGGCCCUGCCAUAGUUCCCUGUCUUGGUUUGCCUCUUAUCUUGCCCUUCGACUUGUUCUUCCUCUUCUUUAUGCCUGUGUCCUUGCCAUCCUUUACGUCUGUCUUCUUGCCUGUCUGCCCGCUGUUGAAGGCUCAUUUCUUUCCAGUGUGUCUGCCUCUCAGCUUUUUCUCCCUUGGCUCCCCCUAUUCCAGCAUCCCUUCCGUGGUGAUGAUGGUCUCACUACCCCAGAGUGUCAGUGGUCCGCUUGCCCUAAAGUCUUAGCUGCCGUCUUGCCCUCUCCUCUACCCUGCCUUCCUCUCACUGCUUGCCUCGGUUUCCAUUCUUUUUCUUUGUAUCUUUUUGGUUCCUCACACAGUCAGCCUGCCUCAGUCUUUUUGCCAUUGUCCCAGUCUCUCCUUGUUUUCCCGUUUUGUUGCUGUCUGUCUGCCUGGCUGGCUCUUGCUGUCCACAUCUCUGCUUGCUUUUUUUCCCCCCCUUUUCUUCUUUUCCAUCAACUUUUAAAUAGAUAGUACAUACACACGGUACAAUAUUUUUAUUUUUAUUUUUCAGCUGCACCUGCAGCACCCAGAAGUUCCCAGGCCAGGGAUCCAACUCGUGCCACAGCAGUGACACCGCUGGAUCCUUAACCCACUGAGCCACCAGGGAUCUCCCCCAAAUUUUCAAAGUACUAAAAGUAUCCUCUGUGAGAGUAAGCCUCCCUCCUGCACCCCUCUUCUUCUCCUCUGAGGUAGUCACUACACAUUUCUUGGAUCAGAUUCCAAAGAAGAGUCUACACACAUGUAUAAGUCUACUUGCUUUUUGCGUCAUGUCUUCCUAAUUAUCUCCCAGUUUUGCUGGAUGGCUUCUUCCUCUGUCCGUGUCAGUACUCCUUCCAACUUCACCCGGCUUGCCAUUUCUGGCAUAUUAACUUUUUUUUUUUUUUUUUUUUUGUCUUUUAGCCUUUCCUGGGGCUGCUCCUGCGGCAUAUGGAGAUUCCCAGGCUAGGGGUCUAAUCAGAGCUGUAGCUGCUGACCUUCCCCAGAACCACAGCAAUGUGGGAUCCGACCCUCAUCUGUGACCCCACAGCUCACGGCAACAUCAGACCCUCAACCCACCGAGCAAGGCCAGGGAUCGAACCGCAACCUCAUGGUUCCUAGUCGGAUUUGUUAACCACGGAGCCACGACGGGAACUCCCAUAUUGGCUUUUUGAUUCUAUUUCAUGGCACGUGUCUUUUUGAUUGACUGCUUGCUGGUCUCAUGCUUUUCCUACCAGGACUUGAGAAAUACUUGGGAAGGGCUUGCUCUUUCCUAAUUUCCUAGUCUACUCUGCGCCAUAACUUGCCCUGAAGACAGCACACCAUUGCUGGUCUCUCUUCCUCACUGAAGUCAGUAUUAAUUGAGAACAGACAGGAAAGCACUGGUAGCACUGAAAAAUAGCCUGUAAAUAAAGGUAUGGUCAGUAAGUGCAGAUGGUUUGUAAGCUUAGCUUACAUGCACAUGGCGUCUGUAAGGGCCCACUGCUUUUCCCACAGUCUGUAUAUGAAUUCUUUAAAGAACUAUGAAUCUAGAUCCUUUUAGGUUCAGCAGCACCCUUAGGCUGUUGACCUAGGCCUGUUGAAGAAAUUUGUCUUCCUCCUAGUCUAAAAAACUUUGCUUCUUACUAAAACUUUUCUCCCUUUUUCAUCUUUCCUCCUGGCUCCUCUCACAUGCCACCUUAGAGACGUUAUAACUCUUUGGGGACCUCGAUCCAGGUCCUUCAGAAAAAUUAUGAUAAAACUUUUACACGCAGUCUACUAUUUUUUCAUUCCUGCCUUUUCUCUGUCUGUAUUCCUGAAUUUAAGGGUUUCAGCCUCUGUCUCUGUCUGUCUCCUCUCUUUCCCCCUCUUCCUCUCACUUCUCUUUUCUUGGUUCUGUCUUUUCUCUUAACUGACUGUCUUGGGCUCUAUUCUAGCCUCUCUUUCUGAUUGGCCACCUUCCCUCUCUUCUGUCUGAUUGGCCUGGAUCCCUCCAUCACCCCAUCUGUCUGCUGGAUUCUCCCUGUCUGCCUGCAAUAAUGUAUGUGAUAGCACUUUAUGAAUUAUAAAGCACUGCGUAGUCUAAAACACUCUUAUCACUUUGUCCUCUUUCUUUGCUCAUUGUUUUCUUUCUCUGUCUGCCUUCCUUCUCUCUUUGUCCUUUUCUGUUUGCCUGUCUGCAUCCCUCUUGGUCAUCUUGCCUGCAUGUCAGUAAUUCUUCUUUCUCUCCUCACAGCCUGUUUUUUGGCCAUUCUUCUCUGUCUCCUCGGUUCUUAUGUCUCUCCUGUGUCUCCAGGUUCCUCUCCUCUCUUUCAGCUGUCUAUUCUGUCUGUCCUUAGGCCUUUUAUCUGUGCCUGUGUGUCUUGCUCUUUCUAGCUGUUUGUCUCCCUGCCUGUCAGUUCCAAUGUAGGCACCACUUUACCUUUUUCUAUCUUUCUGUAUUUCAAAAAAUUAAAAUUAAAAUACUUACUGUUUGACUAAUUGGUAGAAUUUUUUGUUUUUAAUAAGAAGACCAUUAGGUGAGAACAAGGAACUCAGGGAUGCAGCUGUCAGAUGCCAACCAGAAAUUAGAUGCUCCCAUGCAAGAGAAAAAAAAUUGUAAGGGACUCCCAAGCCAGUGAUAAGAUUAUUUAUUUAAAACAAAAGCUAGGAGGUCUUCUGUGGUGCAGUGGGUUAAGGAUCCAGUGUUGUCACUGUAACGGCUUAGGUCACUGCUGUGGCACAGGUUCAAUCCCUGGCCAGGGAGACAGCCACAUGCUAUGGGUGUGGCCAAAGAAAACGCCUUUCUAAAAAUGGAGUAGAUGUAUGGAUGGAUGUCCAUGAUAGAUUUUAUAAGGAAAAUAAGUUUUUAUACCUCUGUACAAGUUGAAAAUUUUUUAACAUGUGUACUUCUUUAAAGUUACAAAAUAAUAUUUUUAAUAUCUUUCUGUUAAAAUAAUGGUGAUGGGCCUAUAGGUGGGUUUAGUUUGUGUUCUCAAUGUCAUUAAUCAGCACAAUAAAAAGUCAGCAACUCCA